Molecule: small RNA, 45 nt
Filed under: Salmonella enterica subsp. enterica serovar Typhi
Lineage: Bacteria; Pseudomonadati; Pseudomonadota; Gammaproteobacteria; Enterobacterales; Enterobacteriaceae
Description: StyR-101
Source: RNAcentral
AGUCUCAGUCAUCACCGAAUAUUGCUGCCAAAUUUUUAAAGCAUC